RNAcentral lists this ribosomal RNA (785 nucleotides) under Staphylinidae sp. NZAC03012720. RNAcentral's name for it is "eukaryotic LSU rRNA". It matches the Rfam family "Eukaryotic large subunit ribosomal RNA", at positions 396 to 944 of the family's 3401-position model. The record is from RNAcentral. Lineage: Eukaryota; Metazoa; Arthropoda; Insecta; Coleoptera; Staphylinidae.
UACGUGAAACCGUUCAGGGGUAAACCUGAGAAACCUGAAAGAUCGAAUGGGGAGAUUCAGCGCGUCUCCGAGCUGGCGAGCGGCGGGGUUAGCGACGGACGUCCUUCGGGACGGCUGCGCGCCCCGUCACCGCGUCCGGUUUGGAACGCGUGCACUUCUCCCCUAGUAGGACGUCGCGACCCGUUGGGUGUCGGCCUUAGGCUAGCGGUGGAGCCCGCGAGGACGGUCCCGGCCGUCCCUUGCGGACCCGCGAUGCCCGGCCGGCUCGCCCGACGGUUCCGAAAUGGCUUGGAGCCGCGAUUCGUUCGCGUCCGGCCCGUCGCAAGCUCGGACGGUUGCCCGGCUGUCGGACCUAGCGCCGACACUGGAGCCGUUCGGCUGCUGGCGGCGGAGACCUCGGACGGACUCCUAUCACGCCAGUCGGCGACGCUUUAGCUUUGGGUACUUUCAGGACCCGUCUUGAAACACGGACCAAGGAGUCUAGCAUGUGCGCGAGUCAUUGGGACUUGCUAAACCUAAAGGCGAAAUGAAAGUGAAGGCACGCUUCGCGCAUGCCUAGGGAGGAUGGGCCGCGUCACCGUGCGCGGCCCCGCACUCCAGGGGCGUCUCGUUCUCCUUCGCGAGUUGAGGCGCACCCAGAGCGUACACGCUGGGACCCGAAAGAUGGUGAACUAUGCCUGGUCAGGACGAAGUCAGGGGAAACCCUGAUGGAGGUCCGUAGCGAUUCUGACGUGCAAAUCGAUCGUCGGAACUGGGUAUAGGGGCGAAAGACUAAUCGAACCAUC